GGGGCAGAUGCGCUCCGUCAGGUCGCCCACAGGCUCGCUCAGCUGGUGGACCCGGAAGGUGGGAUUCUCCCGGUGAGGCCGCAGGUGCUCCUCGCAGAAAGAGGCCAUACAGCUCUUCCUUCGGACCUCCAGCUCGGCUCCUGAACGUUUCCACCACGGUGCUGAGGACCGUGUUCUUCUUCAGCUCCGGCCUGGUGGCGAACAGGGUCCGACACUGAGGGCAGCUGUAGGAGUCCGUCCAGGUGGUCAGCAGACAGUCCUGGCAGAAGUUGUGUCCACAUGGGAUGGUGACCGGACAGUCGAAGGGGCUCAGACAGAUGCUGCAGGUCAGCUCAUCCUCCAGACUCAGCAGAGAGAACGGAGGAUCCUCUAUGGCCGCCAUCAUCACACUGCACGGACAGAAACGAAACUUAACUGGUCAACUCACACCACUUUCCCCAACUAAACAUUAAAGCAGUCUGACACGUAAUUGUCUUCCUACAACAGUGCACAGAAUGUUUCCAUGUAUACAGAAUGUGUCUGUAAUAAUGCAUCAGUCCUUUUGCCUCCACUUACCUGUGCUGUCAGUGCCGGUAACUCCAGCCAAGUGAAGUAACUUCAGCCUAGUUAUACAACAUGACUCAUUAAAACUGUCCCUCCCUCUCAGUGCACUGCAGGUCAAACAGCAGAUUUCCUUGAUUACAUUCAGCUCCAUCAUGUGAGCGCUGACAAUCAUUGACACGUCAUCCACAACACUUAGAGAAAGCAGUGACAAGAAAAAACAAAACAGGAUGUUGAGCUUGCAACCACGGAUUCAACAUUUUUUUUAUGUUUAAAUAGUGUGAAUAAACAAAUGAACCAUUUAUGAAGACAGAAACACGAUAUUUUGCUGAUUUCUGCAGCAGACUCUAAGAUCCCAUAUGGUUAAAGAAUCUAUUUUUACUGUGUUGGUUAAAAACUUGAAGGUAUAAACUAAAAGCUAUUAUGAUAUCAAGAUGUUUACCUCUGCCUUUCUUCACAGCUGGAUACACUCCCAGCCGUACAAACCAGUUAGAAUUGUGUUCAGUUUCUGUGUAUAAACUGAUAAACCAAUUGACACCUCGUUUACACUUUAUAUAAAUCUGCCUCCUCGAUGCUUCCCGGUGAACCAUCCAGAAAGAACAGCUGCCUGUCAAUUCACCUGGUUUGUUUACUUUCUACAGCUGCUUCUGUUAACUCUAAAGUCUCUGAGCCAACAGAAAAACGCAGCAAAUGUUCUUCUGAUGGCUGCAAAGUCAAAAUUAGUUUUAUUGUGAAUUCUUCAAUAUGUUGACUGCUGAGCUGAAGUCCAUGAACAUCAUUCUGACAGAGGAGUUGUUUGUGUCCAGAUGGGUGAGGGCUGUGUUGAGUGUGGUGGAGAUAACAUCAUCAGUCGAGUGGUUGGCCUGAAAAGCAAACUGAAUGUGGUCCAGUGUGGGGGGCAGGAUGGACUUGAUGUGCUGCUUGAUUAGCUGUUGGAAGCACUUCAUAAGGAUGAGAGUGGAAGAGUGAACACAAGAGUCUUCAUACACUCCCAGCAUUGAACCAAGGAAUUGAACACCCAGUGUAAUACUGUCAAGUCAAACUGGAAGGAGCUGAAAACUCAGAGAAGGAGAAGCAUUUACGCACAGGUGCUACACUCAGCUGAGGCGGAACCAAUCUGCGGCUGCAGGUUUGCCACCGGCGGCAUAAAAGGGGACACACGCAGCACUGAGGAGGGACUGAGAAUGAAUGACCGCGUUCAAACAAAGUGGCUGUGAGUUUCUGUUCGGAAAAGCAUCAAAAUCUGCGGCAAACUGUGCAGGAUUGCUUUCAUCUACAAAAUCCGGGUUGCAGCCGGUAAGAGCAAAAUUAUGGAGACUCUAAAAAACUGUUUAAGCUGCCGAUGUGGGCCACUGCAUACGUCAUUGGCAGUAUGUGUUAGCAUUAGCAUUAGCCACGGAGAUCGGCGUCAGCCACGAGCGGCUUGCUGUCAACUUUGUCUGUUUACCAAUAAUUGCCAUGUGUUUUGUAAUUUUUCAGUUGAAAAUAAGAUUGCAGGCUAAUUGGUGCUAAUUAGAGGGUUCCAGCUAAGACCAGUGAAUUCAUAUUUGAUUAUAGUGUCACCCCAACAAAAGGUGAAUCCUUACUGUAAGCAUGUUGAGCUUUUUAUCCAGAGAUGGCGCUUUAAUUUAAACCAGUAAUGAAAAGCUGGAUGGGUUUCUGUUUUCAGCUGUCACUCUUCAGUUCAACAGAAACUCGGCUGCUGUUUUCAUCCAUUAGCUUCUCUCCUGCUCUCUGUGCUCACAUAUACUGUAUUUUCAUAGUUAAAUUCCUAAUAAAGCUGUUCUUACUUACA
This is a long non-coding RNA of Acanthochromis polyacanthus (spiny chromis), 2335 nucleotides long. RefSeq lists it as uncharacterized. The record is from RefSeq and is a predicted model, not a curated record. NCBI's taxonomy places the organism in Eukaryota, Metazoa, Chordata, Actinopteri, Pomacentridae. The transcript has 2 exons.